This is a non-coding RNA of Penaeus vannamei (Pacific white shrimp), 72 nucleotides long. The record is from the annotation of a RefSeq genome assembly. Lineage: Eukaryota; Metazoa; Arthropoda; Malacostraca; Decapoda; Penaeidae.
GCGAUGGUGGUAAAGUGGUGAGCACGGCUGCCUUCCGACCAGUUGACCCGAGUUCGAAUCCCGGCCAUCGCA